Molecule: ribosomal RNA, 255 nt
Filed under: uncultured bacterium
Lineage: Bacteria
Description: partial 16S ribosomal RNA
Rfam family: Bacterial small subunit ribosomal RNA
Source: RNAcentral
UACGUAGGCAGCGAGCGUUUGUUCGGAAUUACUGGGCGUAAAGAGUGUGUAGGCGGUGUUCCAAGUUCGGUGUGAAAUCUCCCGGCUUAACUGGGAGGGUGCGCCGAAAACUGGAAUGCUCGAGCGUGGGAGAGGAAAGCGGAAUUCCUGGUGUAGCGGUGAAAUGCGUAGAUAUCAGGAGGAACACCGGUGGCGAAGGCGGGUCUCUGGGCAGUAACUGACGCUGAGGAGCGAAAGCGUGGGGGAGCGAACAGG